CCUACGGGAGGCAGCAGUGAGGAAUAUUGGUCAAUGGGCGCGAGCCUGAACCAGCCAAGUAGCGUGAAGGAUGACUGCCCUACGGGUUGUAAACUUCUUUUAUAAAGGAAUAAAGUGAGGCACGUGUGCCUCUUUGUAUGUACUUUAUGAAUAAGGAUCGGCUAACUCAGGGCCAGCAGCCGCGGUAAUACGGAGGAUCCGAGCGUUAUCCGGAUUUAUUGGGUUUAAAGGGAGAGUAGAUGGGUUGUUAAGUCAGUUGUGAAAGUUUGCGGCUCAACCGUAAAAUUGCAAUUGAUACUGGCAGUCUUGAGUACAGUUGAGGUAGGCGGAAUUCGUGGUGUAGCAGGGAAAUGCUUAGAUAUCACGAAGAACUCCGAUUGCGAAGGCAGCUUACUAAACUGCCACUGACAUUGAUGCUCGAAAGUGUGGGUAUCAAACAGGAUUAGAUACCCUGGUAGUC
Molecule: ribosomal RNA, 460 nt
Filed under: uncultured bacterium
Lineage: Bacteria
Description: partial 16S ribosomal RNA
Rfam family: Bacterial small subunit ribosomal RNA
Source: RNAcentral